RNAcentral lists this ribosomal RNA (450 nucleotides) under uncultured bacterium. RNAcentral's name for it is "partial 16S ribosomal RNA". It matches the Rfam family "Bacterial small subunit ribosomal RNA", at positions 354 to 796 of the family's 1533-position model. The record is from RNAcentral.
GUGGGGAAUCUUCCGCAAUGGACGAAAGUCUGACGGAGCAACGCCGCGUGAGUGAAGAAGGUUUUCGGAUCGUAAAGCUCUUUCGUUAGGGACGAACGUGCUCUUUGUGAAUAAUGAGGAGUAAUGACGGUACCUAAAUAAGAAGCCACGGCUAACUACGUGCCAGCAGCCGCGGUAAUACGUAGGUGGCAAGCGUUGUCCGGAAUUCUUGGGCGUAAAGCGCGCGCAGGCGGGAUAUCAAGUCUGUCUUAAAAGUGCGAGGCUCAACCUCGUGAGGGGACAGAAACUGGUAUUCUUGAGUGUCGGAGAGGAAAGUGGAAUUCCAAGUGUAGCGGUGAAAUGCGUAGAGAUUUGGAAGAACACCAGUGGCGAAGGCGACUUUCUGGACGAUGUCUGACGCUGAGGCGCGAAAGCUAGGGGAGCGAACGGGAUUAGAAACCCGUGUAGUCC